Camellia sinensis is the source of this 2584-nucleotide non-coding RNA. NCBI's taxonomy places the organism in Eukaryota, Viridiplantae, Streptophyta, Magnoliopsida, Ericales, Theaceae. The record is from RefSeq and is a predicted model, not a curated record.
GUUAUUAAGAAAAAAAUGACCAUUGAUGGUAUUGCACAGCAUAUGUGUGAUGUUGGAAUGUAAUUGGCUAUAUGAGCUUAUUUUCAUUGCAAGUGAUUUGUUUGGAUAUAUUGUGAAUUGAUUUAGGAGAGGGACAAAUUUGAUUUUGGAGAGGUUUACAUGUAAGACUAAGAUGUUAUCAUUUAUGUAGGAGAUUUACCCUUCAUUAGCAAGCAAGAAUUAAAAUCAGCAGGCAGUCUACAUCUAGCAUCCCUGAGUGUGGGAAAAUGUGCUAGAGGAGGAGUAUCUUCAUUAAAUAAAUAUUAGCAUGUUGAGCUCCUCUUCUUAUCUUGGUAAAUAAGUAGUGGGUAGUGGUGUAGAACCAGAAGACAAAGCGGCACAAAUAUCACUCUAGGGUUUUCUAAAAGUCUCUCAAUCAACUAUUCAUUCAUUCAAAAGCUGAAAAUGGUUCUUCUCCAAAGAGUAAAGAGUAAGGUAUUGCUCAAAAAAUGUGGAGUCAAGAUGACUAAACUCAUCCAUGGUGAUCCAUGUAUCAUCAGUGGCUGGGCAAUUCUUCCAUCGUACAAGAUAGCGACAAUAACCACCAUUGGAAGAACCAACAUCUUUAGUGUCAAGGACCUCCUCAAUCUGAUCAAGAUGAAAUUGCGAAGGUUGUGGAGGAUGAGGUACAGAAACUAGCACUGAUAGAGAAGGAAAACAUGUAGGCAAACUUGCUAACAAAGUGGCAGGCUCAAAAGUGCCUUGGUAAGGAAACAAAUCGUCAAUACUAAAUCUCCUAAAUAUUCUAGGUUUCCAAUUAACGAUUCUUGCGCCUAAAAUAUGUCUUCGUUCCUUUCCUUACUUGAUCUUCAUCAGGUAGUUUCUUCUUAUUACUGUUUUUAUCCAAAAAAAAAAAAGAAGAAAAAAAAAAAGCAGAAAGGUCAGGAUAGAAGCAGAUGGAUAAUCAUUUAGAAGUUUGCCUACGUAGCUUGCUGAAAACCCAACGAAUUCAAUUUGAUGGAGGAAACGGGCGUAUUCUGAUCAUGGUUAAAUCUUGCAAAAUCUGUUAUCUUUGUUCAGUAACUUUACUAAUCCACUUGAGUAUGGUAUGGGAAUUGAGAAUUGAAUGAGGCUGAUUCACAUGGCAGAUCUUUAGUGCUACCAUGAAAUAGUUAUUCUUUUCCAAUUGACCCUUGACUGGGUUACAUUCGGCUUGCAUGUGGGUAACUUAAUCUUUCCAUUCUUGCGACAAAAUUUUCUUAGCAAUGAUGAAAUCGGCUGUGCGGGGCACUUGUCAGCUCAAAAAUAUCAAACAGUUAUGUCUAUGUCAUGAUCUUGGACCAUGGUUAGUGAUGUGUAGUUGUUUGUGCUUUUCUCAAGUACCAAGUUGUCUUGAUUUAUAUAUUUUUUUUAAUCAACUAAUUGAUAUCCUCAGAGCUUCGCUGUGAUCUUAUGAAUAAUGUCUGCCAUAUUAUUUAAAGCUCUUGCUAGUGAUGAUCUUUUUGUGACUCAAUUAUAAACUACAGAUCACAAUUGGGGGGGGUAGUCUUACAUUUUCUCAUGAUGAACUAGAAUCUUCCUGUCACAUUUGGCAUUGACCAUUAUGUAAAACCAACAUUUUUAACAUUGGUUUUUGCUCCCGCUCUAAAAAAAAAAAAAAACCAUUGGUCUUUGCAGUCUCACCAGGUGUAUCCCAAUGGAAACUUCCGCACUUAAAUUUGGUGGUGGACUUUAAGAUAUUCAUAAAGCAGCUAAAAGAAGAAGACAAAAUUGAAAAAAAAAAAAAGAAAAAAGAAAAAACUAAUAUAUAUAUUGUAGAAAAUCUGAUUUUGGUAAGAGUUUUUGGAAUUUGCAACAAAGUAGGUUCAAAUCUCAAGCUAUGGGGCUUCAAAUUAAUGCUUAAAAGAAGAGAGAGAAUAAGAAUAAGGAAAUAGAUUUGGAAUUUUUUUAAUCUUCAGUAGCUUUCCCUGAACUAUAUAUUUCCAUUUUCAAUAUAUAUCAUUAGUUUUUCAACUUAAUUGGUGUCUAAGUGAGUUACUCGAAGCUUAAACUUGUGUGAGAAAACAUUCCUUUAGUGAAAAAGAUGCAGUUAUGAUGGCAUGACUUUAAUAAAUUUGAGAACUAAAAGCCAAACACAAUCUUGCUUAAGAAGAUGGUGGUUCACCCUUUGGGAACUCAUUCUAUUUGAGCAUUCAUGAAAAUGAGGCCUGAGACAACUAUUCUUAUCUUGUCGGUACAGUAAAAAUGUGUAGGCAUUCAGGAACUGUGGAUUGUGGAAAGCCAAAGUUUAGGUCAUAUGUGUUGAGUAGAGUGUUCCCCCCAACAACAAUAAUUCCAAGUCAUUGGGAACUGUUAUCUGUGAUAUUGCAAAUAUGAUGGAUUUGAUGUACAAGCAUAGAAUGGUGAUGGUGAUGCUUAUAUUUAUGUGAUCAGACUGACAAUCGCACCAGGAGGGAGUAACAGGAAAAGUUUCUACACUUGGCAAGACUAGUAACUUGCAACAUGUUCCUCAGUUAAAUGUUUUCAGUAUUAUCUCUAUUAUACCUCUACUUGGGUCAGAUCUAUCAUCAUCAAUUUGUUUUUAGAUCAAUAUUAAAGAUUUUGC